UACGUAGGUGACAAGCGUUGUCCGGAUUUACUGGGCGUAAAGAGCGCGCAGGCGGUCGUUCAAGUCGAGUGUGAAAGCCCCGGCUCAACUGGGGAGGUCAUUCGAUACUGAUCGACUCGAAGGCAGGAGAGGGAAGUGGAAUUCCCGGGUGUAGUGGUGAAAUGCGUGAGAUAUCGGGAGGAACACCAGUGGCGAAGGCGGACUUCCUGGCCUGUUCUUGACGCUGAGGCGCGAAAGCUAGGGGAGCAAACGGG
RNAcentral lists this ribosomal RNA (254 nucleotides) under uncultured bacterium. RNAcentral's name for it is "partial 16S ribosomal RNA". It matches the Rfam family "Bacterial small subunit ribosomal RNA", at positions 524 to 776 of the family's 1533-position model. The record is from RNAcentral.